ACGCUCGACACCUACGGGAGGUAGCAGUGAGGAAUAUUGGUCAAUGGGCGCUAGCCUGAACCAGCCAAGUAGCGUGAAGGAUGAAGGCUCUAUGGGUCGUAAACUUCUUUUAUAUAAGAAUAAAGUGCAGUAUGUAUACUGUUUUGUAUGUAUUAUAUGAAUAAGGAUCGGCUAACUCCGUGCUAGCAGCCGCGGUAAUCUGAGCGGGCUGGCAAGGC
This 218-nucleotide ribosomal RNA is filed under the name uncultured bacterium. Its description in RNAcentral is "partial 16S ribosomal RNA". It matches the Rfam family "Bacterial small subunit ribosomal RNA", at positions 328 to 539 of the family's 1533-position model. The record is from RNAcentral.